AAUUACUGGGCGUAAAGGGCGCGUAGGCGGUACUUCAAGUCAGGCGUGAAAGCCCCGGGCUCAACCUGGGAACCGCGCUUGAGACUGGAGAACUAGAGUUCGGGAGAGGAUGGUGGAAUUCCCAGUGUAGAGGUGAAAUUCGUAGAUAUUGGGAAGAACACCGAUGGCGAAGGCAGCCAUCUGGACCGACACUGACGCUGAGGCGCGAAAGCGUGGGGAGCAAACAGGAUUAGAUACCCUGGUAGUCAAGGGCG
Molecule: ribosomal RNA, 254 nt
Filed under: uncultured Rhodospirillales bacterium
Lineage: Bacteria; Pseudomonadati; Pseudomonadota; Alphaproteobacteria; Rhodospirillales
Description: partial 16S ribosomal RNA
Rfam family: Bacterial small subunit ribosomal RNA
Source: RNAcentral